CUAACUGUCGCUAACUUACCGCGGCUGUUAGCGGGUUGGAAGUACAGAGAGACAGGCUGAACGCAGGGUCGUCGUCCUCAGCAGUGAACACAGCAUGGCUCCGCUGAAGUUCUGUGCGAAUAUUUCCUGGCUCUUCACGGAGAUUCCAGACUUCACUCAGCGGAUAUACGCGGCUGUUUCGGCUGGCUUUCAGGCCGUAGAGGCAGCCUGGCUGUACGACUGCGACCUGCAGGAGCUUCAGAGGGCCAGAGAGGCUACAGGAGUGGAGGUGGUCCUCAUCAACACCCCGCCGGGAGAUGUAAAGGCAGGUGAUCUUGGUCUUGGAGCAGUUCCUGGAAGAGAGGCAGAGUUCAGACAGGGUCUGGAUCUGGCUCUGAAGUAUGCAAGAGCGUUGGACUGCAAAAGGAUCCACCUGAUGGCCGGGAGGUUCCCUGUGGGCUCACACAGAAUGGCAGUUGCCAAGGAGAUGGAGGCCAUCUUUGUGCAGAACCUAAACUAUGCUGCUGAUAUCCUCUCAAAGGAAGGAAUCACUGGUUUGAUUGAACCAAUCAACACAAGGAUUACAGAUCCCAGGUACUUUCUGGACUCUCCUCAUCAAGCAGCUGCAAUUCUAGAGAAGGUUGGAAAGCCAAAUAUCAAGCUGCAAAUGGAUGUUUUUCACUGGCAAAUAAUGGAUGGAAACCUGACACACAACAUACACAAGUAUUUCCCCAUAAUCGGUCACGUUCAGAUUGCUCAGGUUCCGGGCAGGAAUGAGCCUGACAGUGCCCGGAGAGCUUGACUACAGCUACCUGUUGAACACUCUGAAGGACCACGACUACCAGGGAUACAUCGGCUGUGAAUAUAAGCCACUUGGCUUCACAGAGGAGGGUCUGGGUUGGAUCAGAGAAUACUGCACGCACAGCAAGUGAUGAUCCAAUCACACCACUUCUACCUGGACUAACUUUUUCCAAGUUCCAUUCUAGUGGCCUUAUCUUAACACACAUGACCUAAACAUUUAUUUUGUACAAUCAAGAAAUACAGUUGCAAGAAAAUGUAUGUGAACCCUUUUGGAAUUACCUGGAUUCCUGGUUGGUCAUAAAAUGUGUUCUGAGCUUCAUCUAAGUCACAACAAUAGACAAACACAGUCUGCUUAAACUCAUACCACACAAACAA
Dicentrarchus labrax (European seabass) is the source of this 1155-nucleotide RNA transcript. It is a transcript of the gene named hydroxypyruvate isomerase, with no coding region annotated. The record is from RefSeq and is a predicted model, not a curated record. Lineage: Eukaryota; Metazoa; Chordata; Actinopteri; Moronidae. The transcript has 8 exons.